AGCUGAAGAGAGGAAGAUGUUUGUUUAGAAAAGAGACAGAAAAUUAAUGACACCACAUCACCGCAAAAAGCAAGCUCCCAAGAACUGGUUUGUGCGCAAAAGAAAGGGUGUGUAAUGACUGGAAUAUCCAUAAUGCUGUUUAAAGAAAGUUAGCGAAAGUGAAAGAAUCAUGCCAUGCUCGCCAAGACGCACGCCUCAGCAUUUGGGGACAGCACGCGUGAUCAUUUUAAAAUGUUUCAAGACCUUUCGAUUAUGAAAACGGCUGAAUCUGCGCAUGCUCCAUGAAAUCACAACAAAGAAAACUCGAACAAAUAAAAUUACCUUGAGUAAUGAAUGACGCUCCCGGGCAAAUAAAUGUUUAUUUCGUAGUAAACACGUUAUAACAUAACUUUAUAGUUCCAUUGCGUUUUUUCUCAAUUUUUAUCAAAACGAGGCUUUCUAUUUCACGAAAUCGAAUGCAAUACGUCGAAAAGCAUCUAACGUCAUCAUUUAAUGACGGCAGAGAUCGACUUUGAGCAAAUUUGAGCGCUGGUAUCUAUGCUAAGCUAUUUAUGGUUCUUGCGAAUCAAUAAAUACAUUUUAUAAGACACAAGUUAAUGUGGGAAGAGAGGGAAAGAGUUGCCAAAAAUGAAACAGAAAAUAAGACAAAUCUUACUUACUCGAAAAGAUGUAAUAAAAUACGGAAGUGCCGCAAACAUAUUGAAAUUCGAAUUCCUAAACGAUGAUAAUUUUUGAUAUAGGCUGUGGUGGAUGUGUUUGACGUCCGGUUAUUAAGCAGGUACUUAUGUAAUUUAUUCAUUAAAAACAUUUCAAAAGAUA
Xenia sp. Carnegie-2017 is the source of this 819-nucleotide long non-coding RNA. RefSeq lists it as uncharacterized. The record is from RefSeq and is a predicted model, not a curated record. Lineage: Eukaryota; Metazoa; Cnidaria; Anthozoa; Malacalcyonacea; Xeniidae. The transcript is spliced from 2 exons.